CCUACGGGUGGCAGCAGUGAGGAAUAUUGGUCAAUGGGCGCGAGCCUGAACCAGCCAAGUAGCGUGAAGGAUGACUGCCCUACGGGUUGUAAACUUCUUUUAUAAAGGAGUAAAGUGAGGCACGUGUGCCUUUUUGUAUGUAAUUUAUGAAUAAGGAUCGGCUAACGCCGUGCCCGCAGCCGCGGUAAUUCGGAGGAUCCGGGCGUUAUCCGGGUUUAUUGGGUUUAAAGGGAGCGUAGAUGGGUUGUUAAGUUAGUUGUGAAAGUUUGCGGCCCAACCGUAAAAUUGCCAUUGAUACUGGCAGUCUUGAGUGCAGUAGAGGUAGGCGGAAUUCGUGGUGUAGCGGUGAAAUGCUUAGAUAUCACGCAGAACUCCGAUUGCGAAGGCAGCUUACUAGACUGCCACUGACAUUGAUGCUCGAAAGUGUGGGUAUCAAACAGGAUUAGAUACCCCUGUAGUC
Molecule: ribosomal RNA, 460 nt
Filed under: uncultured bacterium
Lineage: Bacteria
Description: partial 16S ribosomal RNA
Rfam family: Bacterial small subunit ribosomal RNA
Source: RNAcentral